CCUUUUAUCAGUUUGAUCAUAAAAGUCCAGAAAUUGGAACUAAACGAAAAAUUAGCUUACUAUGAAGACCCAAGUAUACAUGAAUCCCAUUUAGAUACACUGCAAAAAUGUGAUCUAACUUUAUGUGAAAGUGUAAAAGAGAUAUAACCGGAAGAAACACAACCGGAAGAAACUACCGGAAGAAACACAACCAAUGAUCAAUGAAGCGUGGGUAAACGCUUCAACUAUGUAACUACGAUUUUCUUACGGUAGCCAAAUGCCUCGUCAUCUAAUUAGUGACGCGCAUGAAUGGAUGAACAAGAUUUCCACUGUCCCUACCUACUAUCUAGCGAAACCACAGUCAAGGGAACAGGCUUGGUGGAAUCAGAGGGGAAAGAAGACCCUGUUGAGCUUGACUCUAGUCUGCAACUGUGAAGAGACAUGAGAGGUGUAGGAUAAGUGGGAGGCCCCCGGCCUCGCAAUGGGGCGCCGCCAGCAAAAUACCACUAUUUUUAUCGUUUUUUAACUAACCCGGAGAGGCGGGGGGUCAAGCCCCUAAGGGCUCUCGCUUCUGGCUCCAAGCGCCUGGCACGCGACCCGCUCCGAGGACAGUGGCAGGUGGGGAGUUUGACUGGGGUGGUACACCUGUCAAACGGUAACACGGGUGUCCUAAGGCAAGCUCAGGGAGGACAGCUCGCUUGAUCUUGAUUUUCAGCAUGAAUAGAGACCAUGAAAGCGGGGCCUCACGAUUCUUCUGAGUUUUUGGGUUUCAAGCAGGAGGUGUCAGAAAAGCUACCUCAGGGAUAACUGGCUUGUGGCGGCCAAGCGUUCAUAGUGAUGUCGCUUUUUGAUACUUCGAUGUCGGCUCUUCCUAUUAUUGUGAAGCAGAAUUCACCAAGUGUUGGAUUGUUCACCUACUAAUAGGGAACAUUUUGAAGCCUCUGUCUUUGAGAGACUGUCCU
This 941-nucleotide ribosomal RNA is filed under the name Aquarana catesbeiana (American bullfrog). Its description in RNAcentral is "eukaryotic LSU rRNA". It matches the Rfam family "Eukaryotic large subunit ribosomal RNA", at positions 2197 to 2974 of the family's 3401-position model. The record is from RNAcentral. Lineage: Eukaryota; Metazoa; Chordata; Amphibia; Anura; Ranidae.